RNAcentral lists this unclassified non-coding RNA (253 nucleotides) under uncultured Chlamydiales bacterium. RNAcentral describes it as "contains 16S-23S intergenic spacer region". It matches the Rfam family "Bacterial small subunit ribosomal RNA", at positions 524 to 776 of the family's 1533-position model. Lineage: Bacteria; Pseudomonadati; Chlamydiota; Chlamydiia; Chlamydiales. The record is from RNAcentral.
UACGGAGGGUGCAAGCGUUAAUCGGAUUUAUUGGGCGUAAAGAGCACGUAGGCGGGGUGGAAAGUUAGAUGUGAAAGACCGGGGCUCACCCUCGGAAGCGCAUCUAAAACUCCCAUCCUAGAGGAUGGACGGAGAAAGGAGAAUUCCAAGUGUAGCGGUGGAAUGCGUAGAUAUUUGGAAGAAUACCGGUGGCGAAGGCGCCUUUCUAGUUCACUCCUGACGCUGAGGUGCGAAAGCAAGGGGAGCAAACAGG